AUUGAACGCUGGCGGCAUGCUUUACACAUGCAAGUCGAACGGUAACAGGCCUUCGGGUGCUGACGAGUGGCGAACGGGUGAGUAAUCCAUCGGAACGUACCCAGAGGUGGGGGAUAACGCAGCGAAAGCUGUGCUAAUACCGCAUGUGAUCUGAGGAUGAAAGCGGGGGACCGAGCAGCAAUGUUUGGCCUCGCGCCUUUGGAGCGGCCGAUGUCGGAUUAGCUAGUUGGUGGGGUAAGGGCCUACCAAGGCGACGAUCCGUAGCUGGUCUGAGAGGACGACCAGCCACACUGGGACUGAGACACGGCCCAGACUCCUACGGGAGGCAGCAGUGGGGAAUUUUGGACAAUGGGCGCAAGCCUGAUCCAGCAAUGCCGCGUGCGGGAAGAAGGCCUUCGGGUUGUAAACCGCUUUUGGCAGGAACGAAACGGUGUCCGCUAAUACCGGGCGCUAAUGACGGUACCUGCAGAAUAAGCACCGGCUAACUACGUG
RNAcentral lists this ribosomal RNA (492 nucleotides) under uncultured bacterium. RNAcentral describes it as "partial 16S ribosomal RNA". It matches the Rfam family "Bacterial small subunit ribosomal RNA", at positions 29 to 507 of the family's 1533-position model. The record is from RNAcentral.